GUUUUUUGAAAUAUAAUAAAAAAUUUCACCUGCUCCAUGAAUUAAUUUAAAUAGCUGCAGUAUUUUGACUGUACAAAGGUAGCAUAAUCAAUUGUUUUUUAAUUAAAAGCUAGAAUGAAUGGUUAAAUGAAAUAAAAACUUUUUUAAAUUUAAAAUUAAAAUUUUCUUAUUAGUAAAAAAGCUAAUAUAAAAUUAAUAGACGAGAAGACCCUAUAGAGUUUUAUAUAAAUUUAUAAAAAUUAAUUUAAUUUAAUAUAUUUUUAUUAAUUUAUAUUUAAUUGGGGUGAUUAUUAAAAUUAAUAAACUUUAAUUAAUUAUAAACAAAAAUUAUUGAAAUUUUGAUCUUUAAUUUUUAAUUAAAAGAAUAAAUUACCUUAGGGAUAACAGUGUAAUUUUUUUUAAUAGUUCAUAUUGAAAAAAAAGUUUGC
This 428-nucleotide ribosomal RNA is filed under the name Hyposoter exiguae. RNAcentral's name for it is "partial 16S ribosomal RNA". Lineage: Eukaryota; Metazoa; Arthropoda; Insecta; Hymenoptera; Ichneumonidae. The record is from RNAcentral.